This 496-nucleotide ribosomal RNA is filed under the name uncultured bacterium. Its description in RNAcentral is "partial 16S ribosomal RNA". It matches the Rfam family "Bacterial small subunit ribosomal RNA", at positions 30 to 523 of the family's 1533-position model. The record is from RNAcentral.
AUUGAACGCUGGCGGAAUGCUUUACACAUGCAAGUCGAACGGUAGAGGGGGCAACCCCUCGAGAGUGGCGAACGGGUGAGUAAUAUAUCGGAACGUGCCCAGUCGUGGGGGAUAACGUAGCGAAAGUUACGCUAAUACCGCAUACGAUCUAAGGAUGAAAGCGGGGGAUCGCAAGACCUCGCGCGAUUGGAGCGGCCGAUAUCAGAUUAGGUAGUUGGUGGGGUAAAGGCUCACCAAGCCAACGAUCUGUAGCUGGUCUGAGAGGACGACCGGCCAAACUGGAACUGGGACACGGUCCAGACUCCUACGGGAGGCAGCAGUGGGGAAUUUUGGACAAUGGACGCAAGUCUGAUCCAGCCAUUCCGAGUGCAGGAUGAAGGCCCUCGGGUUGUAAACUGCUUUUGUACGGAACGAAAAGGUCUCUCUUAAUACGGGGGGCUCAUGACGGUACCGUAAGAAUAAGCACCGGCUAACUACGUGCCAGCCGCCGCGGUAA